AAUGAACGCUGGCGGCGCGCCUAAUACAUGCAAGUCGAGCGAGAAGACGUAGCAAUACGUUUGUAAAGCGGCGAACGGGUGAGGAAUACAUGGGUAACCUACCCUCGAGUGGGGAAUAACUAGCCGAAAGGUUAGCUAAUACCGCGUACGCUUCUUGGACUUCGGUUCAGGGAGGAAAGCGAUGCCGAGGGUAUCGCGCUCUUGGAUGGGCCCAUGUCCUAUCAGCUUGNGGUGAGGUAACGGCUCACCAAGGCUUCGACGGGUAGCUGGUCUGAGAGGACGAUCAGCCACACUGGCACUGCGACACGGGCCAGACUCCUACGGGAGGCAGCAGUAAGGAAUAUUGCGCAAUGGGCGAAAGCCUGACGCAGCGACGCCGCGUGGGGGAUGAAGGUC
This 396-nucleotide ribosomal RNA is filed under the name uncultured bacterium. RNAcentral describes it as "bacterial SSU rRNA". It matches the Rfam family "Bacterial small subunit ribosomal RNA", at positions 29 to 416 of the family's 1533-position model. The record is from RNAcentral.